CCAGCACCUAUGGAAAAAUGGGAAGAAAAGCAAAGUCACAUGCAGGAUGUCCAAGAGAUCACUUUGCUUCUUACACUUCUGCCUGUCAGAAUGUACAACGGCUUGGUCAGAGACAGAAAUGAAGUAGACUGAAAGCCUCAGACACACAGCUUCAUUUCUCUCAUCUAUGAGAGCCUGUUCCCGUAACUCUGAAGCUGUGGAUUAAGUAGAGUCAAAGGUGGUGAAACGCUUGAACAACAGACUGAACAGAGCAACUUGCAAAGACCAUCCUUGGAGUUAUUUAAACCCCAGCAGAAACAGCCCUAAGGAAUCUUCUCUAGUGGACUCUACUUUGAAUCAAGGUGUUUGCAAGCCACAGAGAAUCAGCAAAGUGCUUGUAUAGCUAACUCCAUGAAAACUCAAAUGCUGAAAUGCUGGUAGCUGCAAUUUGACCCCCUGUACAAUUUCAAGUGCUCAAAUCUCUUACUUGUAGACUGUCAAGAUCUUUUUUCCAACAUAGGAGUGAAGACAUGCUUUUCUGCUCUCAAAUGCUUCAUUCACACAAAGAAAUAAUCUUCAAUAAAUAAGUAAAUCCAUAUCAAGAAAGAAAUGCUUCCUAAAGAAUACAGUAGCUUCCACCUUGCCUUAUACAACACAUACCAAUUCCAGUACCUAUUUCUGAAUUCCUUUUAUACGUACAAUUAAAAUCUGGGUCCCACUGAAACUAGGGGACACAAGGCAUUAACAGAAGGUUAAUUCUGAAAAAUAAUUUCCACUGCAGCCAAGGUAAUACAAAGAAGUUUCUCCAUCCAGUUUACUGUUGGUGAUUCUGUUGAGCUGAACUCUGCAUUCAGCAGUGACUUAAAAUAACUGGACAGGCAUCCUAUCAGGGUGAACUGCUUUACAUCUUUUUUCUUGUCAAUGCCUCAAACUGCCUGGAUGCAGUCACUGCAUGGGCAACAGACGGCCUCACGUCCACAUGAUCUUGAGCUCAGCCUGGCUCAUUAUUCAGGCAGAUUCAAGAGAAAGAUUGUAUGAACUCCAAGUGAGAACGUGCUUAUGGGAACUGCUUCCUCUCCACUCUCAGCAGAAAGAACAUCCCAGUUCUACUUCUUCCAUGACAGUGUUCAACUCCUCACUGGGUUUAUCUGUGCACUGUACGUGCCCAAGGGCCUCCAAAACAAACACAGAGUAAAAGACAGGAACUACUUAAUCUGUACUAAGCUAUAGUUAUCAUGUUUACUCUGAUGGGCUUCUGCCUUAGUCUUCUAAAUUCAGAAGGGUAGGAAGCACACAGAGAUGAUGAUUUCUAUGAGGAAUUUAGGUAUCUAACUUCAGUUCAUUCAAGUUACAUGCCUUCAACAGAGCUGAGAUGAAUGCUCGCUUACUUCCCCUGCACAAGUUAUUGUAUGCACAAGUUAUUUACAUCUAUUCCUUCAGAAAGAACUAAUGUAGCCGCCAACAAAUAAUUUACUAACUUUACAAAAAGCACAUUUAUUUUAAACAUGACUAAUUUUUAGCAUGAUGUAAAAUAAAAUAUCUAAUAUUAUGCAAAAUAGUAAUAAAUGCUGACUAGAAACAAAGCACUUGCAUAACUUGACCAGUUUAUUUCCUUCUGUAGUCCCUGGGUCUGUUUCUGAUAAUAGACAGCAGCAGAGGCUUCCGAAAAAGAGACAGAUAGAUAGGAUAAUGCAAUCGGGGAAUAACCACCACCACGUUUCUCCUCAGCUCUGUCAUUCUGUAAUUGGUUUAUAGUCGAUUAGUAACGGAGCUUACAUCUGUAACUCUAAAAUGACUUUACUGAAGUGCUCGCAAGACAUUCUUCAAAUCUACAUGACAUUCAUAUUUUCAUAGGAGUCCUUAGAGCACGCUAAAUAAAUCUGAUAUCCUGAGAUGUUUCUGCCACAUUUAAAUGUGCGCUUAGAUCAUUCAGUAGUUCAUGUACUUGAUCCGAGAAGCGCUAUAUGAACAGCUCUAGAUGUAUGCCUAUGAAGAAACGAAAAUCCAG
Numida meleagris (helmeted guineafowl) is the source of this 1987-nucleotide long non-coding RNA. RefSeq lists it as uncharacterized. The transcript is spliced from 3 exons. NCBI's taxonomy places the organism in Eukaryota, Metazoa, Chordata, Aves, Galliformes, Numididae. The record is from RefSeq and is a predicted model, not a curated record.